UUCCCCUCCGCCUCUCUCCGCCAUAGACCGCCUAUCGGAAAUCAUCUCCGCCGGCCGGAGUUAACCAAUCGACCCCAAACCGGCACCAAUAGAUUCCUCUACACCAUCCCACCAAGAUCAAAUACAAUUUUCAUCUUAUCACCAUCUUCAUCCAAACCGUAACCCACUUGGCCCCUUCCCACUUUUCUCGAUCAUUGAUGCUUGAUAUACCUCAAUACUUAUAUCAUUAGAUAGGUCUCAAUGACCAAGACCUCUAUGGAGUCAUUCCUUUUGGCAUCUCGUCUGGAGAUCAUUAGGUUGAAUUACGGAUUUCACGUUGAAAUCCAAAGUUUGUGGAGAAAUGAGUUAAUUAUGCGAAGCCUAUGUGUUGUAAUAUUGUUUGAUUCCAGAAAAUAGAAGGUGCUUGGUUCAAUAGAAGUGGCUGUUAGUAUGAGCUAGAAUUUCAAUUAUGUUUUCUUUAUGAUUUUUUAUCAGUGCUGUGAUAUUUAAACUUGGAUAAUCAUGUAUUAAUAUUUUUGUAAUUAACUUCGUGACUUCUGAUG
Nicotiana tabacum (common tobacco) is the source of this 542-nucleotide long non-coding RNA. RefSeq lists it as uncharacterized. The record is from RefSeq and is a predicted model, not a curated record. NCBI's taxonomy places the organism in Eukaryota, Viridiplantae, Streptophyta, Magnoliopsida, Solanales, Solanaceae.